AGAGUUUGAUUAUGGCUCAGAACGAACGCUGGCGGCAUGCCUCAUACAUGCAAGUCGAACGAGGUCCUCGGACCUAGUGGCGCACGGGUGAGUAACAUGUGGGAAUCUGCCUGAAGGUUCGGAAUAACUGCGGGAAACUGUAGCUAAUACCGGAUGUGUCUGAAAAGAGAAAGAUUUAUCGCCUUCAGAUGAGCCCGCACUAGAUUAGCUAGUUGGUGAGGUAAUUGCUCCACCAAGGCUACGAUCUAUAGCUGAUUUGAGAGGAUGAUCAGCCACACUGGGACUGAGACACGGCCCAGACUCCUACGGGAGGCAGCAGUCGGGAAUAUUGGACAAUGGGGGAAACCCUGAUCCAGCAAUGCCGCGUGAGUGAAGAAGGCCUUCGGGUUGUAAAGCUCUUUCAUCAAUGAUGAUAAUGACAUUAGUUGAAGAAGAAGCCCCGGCUAACUUCGUGCCAGCAGCCGCGGUAAUACGAAGGGGGCUAGCGUUGUUCGGAAUCACUGGGCGUAAAGCGUAUGUAGGCGGAUCAAAAAGUUAGAUGUGAAAUCCCUGGGCUCAACCCAGGAACUGCAUUUAAAACUAGUGAUCUAGAAUUUGGUAGGGGUUAGUAGAAUUUCCAGUGUAGAGGUGAAAUUCGUAGAUAUUGGAAAGAAUACCAGUGGCGAAGGCGACUAACUGGGCCAUUUUUGACGCUGAGAUACGAAAGCGUGGGUAGCAAACAGGAUUAGAUACCCUGGUAGUCCACGCAGUAAACGAUGAGUGCUAGUCGCUGGGACAAUAGUUUCAGUGUCGAAGCUAACGCAUUAAGCACUCCGCCUGGGAAGUACGGUCGCAAGAUUAAAACUCAAAUAAAUUGACGGGGGCCCGCACAAGCGGUGGAGCAUGUGGUUUAAUUCGAAGCAACGCGAAGAACCUUACCAGACCUUGUCAUGGUAUGUUUGAAUUACAGAAUCGUAAUUCUUCAGUUCGGCUGGCAUACACACAGGUGCUGCAUGGCUGUCGUCAGCUCGUGUCGUGAGAUGUUGGGUUAAGUCCCGCAACGAGCGCAACCCUCAUUUUUAGUUGCCAUCAGGUUAUGCUGGGCACUCUAAAAAAACUGCCGGUGAUAAGCUGGAGGAAGGCGGGGAUGACGUCAAGUCCUCAUGGCCCUUACGGUCUGGGCUACACACGUGCUACAAUGGUGGUGACAGUGGGCAGCAAUACUGCAAAGUAAAGCUAAUCCCAAAAAACCAUCUCAGUUCGGAUUGGACUCUGCAACUCGAGUCCAUGAAGUUGGAAUCGCUAGUAAUCGUAGAUCAGCGUGCUACGGUGAAUACGUUCUCGGGCCUUGUACACACCGCCCGUCACGCCAUGGGAGUUGGUUUUACCUUAAGCCGGUGCGCUAACCGCAAGGAAGCAGCCGUCCACGGUAGGGUCAGCGACUGGGGCGAAGUCGUAACAAGGUAACCGUAGGGGAACCUGCGGUUG
Molecule: ribosomal RNA, 1467 nt
Filed under: marine metagenome
Description: bacterial SSU rRNA
Rfam family: Bacterial small subunit ribosomal RNA
Source: RNAcentral